Molecule: ribosomal RNA, 1500 nt
Filed under: human gut metagenome
Description: bacterial LSU rRNA
Rfam family: Bacterial large subunit ribosomal RNA
Source: RNAcentral
CGCUCUUCCGAUCUGACCGAUAGCGUACCAGUACUGUGAAGGAAAGGCGAAAAGAACCCCGGGAGGGGAGUGAAAUAGAACCUGAAACCGCAUACAUACAAACAGUAGGAGCCUCGUUAAGGGGUGACUGCGUACCUUUUGCAUAAUGGGUCAGCGACUUACGUUUAAUGGCAAGCUUAACCGAUUAGGGGAGGCGUAGCGAAAGCGAGUUCGAAUAGAGCGAUUUGAGUCGUUAGGCGUAGACCCGAAACCAGAUGAUCUAUCCAUGGUCAGGUUGAAGAUGUGGUAACACACAUUGGAGGACCGAACCGACUAGUGUUGCAAAAUUAGCGGAUGAACUGUGGAUAGGGGUGAAAGGCUAAACAAAUCUGGAGAUAGCUGGUUCUCCCCGAAAACUAUUGAGGUAGUGCCUCGUGUAUAACUCCAGGGGGUAGAGCACUGUUAUGGCUAGGGGGACAUGGCGUCUUACCAAACCAUGGCAAACUCCGAAUACUUGGAAGUUGAGCACGGGAGACAGAGCACCGGGUGCUAACGUCCGGACUCAAGAGGGAAACAACCCAGACCGCCGGCUAAGGUCCCUAAUAUUGUCUAAGUGGAAAACGAAGUGGAAAGGCUAAAACAGUCAGGAAGUUGGCUUAGAAGCAGCCAUCCUUUAAAGAAAGCGUAAUAGCUCACUGAUCGAGUCUUUCUGCGCGGAAGAUGUAACGGGGCUAAGACAAUAACCGAAGCCGCGGAUUCACACGUAAGUGUGAGUGGUAGGGGAGCGUUCUGUAAGCCUGCGAAGGUGGCUUGUAAAGGCUGCUGGAGGUAUCAGAAGUGCGAAUGCUGACAUGAGUAACGUUAAAGUGGGUGAAAAGCCCACUCGCCGUAAGCCCAAGGUUUCCUGCUCUACGUUCAUCGGAGCAGGGUGAGUCGGCCCCUAAGGUGAGGCUGAUAAGCGUAACUGAUGGGAACAAGGUUAAUAUUCCUUGACCGCCGUUGAGUGCGAAGGGGGGACGGAGUAUUGAAGAUCAUCCGGGUGUUGGAUAUCCCGGUUUGCGCGCGUAGGAGGCUGAUAGGCAAAUCCGUCAGCGAAUCUCCGAGGCAAAGCAUCGAGACCUUUUAGGUCGAAGUGAUUGGAUGUGCUCCCAGGAAAAGCCUCUAAGCUCCAGCUCAACGGGACCGUACCGCAAACCGACACUGGUGGGCGAGCUGAAUAUGCUCAGGCGCUUGAGAGAACUCAGGAGAAGGAACUCGGCAAAUUGACACCGUAACUUCGGGAUAAGGUGUGCCUUUGUAGUGUGAAGGAAGAAACAUCCGGAGCAUGAAGAGGUCUCAGAGAAUUGGUGGCUGCGACUGUUUACUAAAAACACAGCACUCUGCAAAGACGAAAGUCGACGUAUAGGGUGUGAUGCCUGCCCGGUGCUGGAAGAUUAAUUGAUGGGGUGCAAGCUCCUGAUCGAAGUCCCAGUAAACGGCGGCCGUAACUAUAACGGUCCUAAGGUAGCGAAAUUCCUUGUC